GAUGAACGCUGGCGGCGUGCCUAAUACAUGCAAGUAGAACGCUGAAGCUUGGUGCUUGCACCGAGCGGAAGAGUUGCGAACGGGUGAGUAACGCGUAGGUAACCUGCCUCUUAGCGGGGGAUAACUAUUGGAAACGAUAGCUAAUACCGCAUAAAAGUCGGCAUUGCAUGAUGUUGACUUGAAAGGUGCAAAUGCAUCACUAAGAGAUGGACCUGCGUUGUAUUAGCUAGUUGGUGAGGUAACGGCACACCAAGGCGACGAUACAUAGCCGACCUGAGAGGGUGAUCGGCCACACUGGGACUGAGACACGGCCCAGACUCCUACGGGAGGCAGCAGUAGGGAAUCUUCGGCAAUGGGGGCAACCCUGACCGAGCAACGCCGCGUGAGUGAAGAAGGUUUUCGGAUCGUAAAGCUCUGUUGUAAGAGAAGAACGAGUGUGAGAGUGGAAAGUUCACACUGUGACGGUAACUUACCAGAAAGGACGGCU
This 487-nucleotide ribosomal RNA is filed under the name Streptococcus parasanguinis. RNAcentral describes it as "bacterial SSU rRNA". It matches the Rfam family "Bacterial small subunit ribosomal RNA", at positions 28 to 498 of the family's 1533-position model. The record is from RNAcentral. Lineage: Bacteria; Bacillati; Bacillota; Bacilli; Lactobacillales; Streptococcaceae.